This is a long non-coding RNA of Artibeus jamaicensis (Jamaican fruit-eating bat), 379 nucleotides long. RefSeq lists it as uncharacterized. NCBI's taxonomy places the organism in Eukaryota, Metazoa, Chordata, Mammalia, Chiroptera, Phyllostomidae. The record is from RefSeq and is a predicted model, not a curated record. The transcript is spliced from 3 exons.
UCAGCACCCUAAGUGGUCAGUUGUCAAGGCUUCAUCCACCUGCAAGGAAGACUGAACUGAAGAGGAUUCAAUAUAAUUUUCUCUGGAUUAACAUGAUUUGAGGAUUUUUCUAGGCCAAAAAGGAAAAAAUGAUGAAGAAGAAAAAGUCUCACAUUUCAGUGAGAGUUUGGUGUCCAACAGCAAGAUGACCUUGAAGACACGUGUGACAGACACAGAAAGUCCAGAGCUCUAUAUUCCUGGAAAUACUUAAAACUAACAUGAACAGAUGGGAAAACUGAAGCUAAGAGGGUGAAUACCUUACCCAAGGCCGUACAACUAAGGGAUGAAGCUGUGAUAUGAACACAGGCUGUUUUAUUCUGGAAACACAGUCAUAACCAGA